AGUGCGAUCGGUGGAUGCCUUGGCACCAAGAGCCGAUGAAGGACGUUGUAACCUGCGAUAAGCCCUGGGGAGUUGGUAAACGAGCUGUGAUCCGGGGGUGUCCGAAUGGGGAAACCUGGAAUGUCCGGAGUAGUGUCCGGUGACCCUGCCCUGAAUGUAUAGGGGUGUGGGAGGUAACGCGGGGAAGUGAAACAUCUUAGUACCCGUAGGAAGAGAAAACAACCGUGAUUCCGUGAGUAGUGGCGAGCGAAAGUGGAUGAGGCUAAACCGUGUGUGUGUGUUCAAGCCGGCAGGUGUUGCAUGUGGGGGCCUUUUGGUUCUGCUGCCGCAGGAUUGGCCAGUGAUAAAUGUUGCGUGAAGGUGAAGCGUCUGGGAAGGCGUACCGGAGUGGGUGAGAGUCCCGUAACUGUAAGCGUGGCACUGGUGAGGGUUGCCCCAAGUAGCGUGGAACUCGUGGAAUUUCGCGUGAAUCUGGCGGGACCACCCGUCAAGCCUAAAUACUCCUUGGUGACCGAUAGUGUAUUAGUACCGUGAGGGAAUGGUGAAAAGUACCCCGGGAGGGGAGUGAAAUAGUACCUGAAACCGGUCGCAUACAAGCCGUCAGAGCCUUGUGGGGUGAUGGCGUGCCUUUUGAAGAAUGAGCCUGCGAGUUAGUGAUGCGUGGCGAGGUUAACCUGUGUGGGGGAGUCGUAGCGAAAGCGAGUCUGAUAAGGGCGUGAGUCGCGUGUUCUAGACCCGAAGCGGUGUGAUCUAUCCAUGGCCAGGAUGAAGCGUCGGUAAGACGUCGUGGAGGUCCGAACCCACUUCAGUUGAAAAUGGAGGGGAUGAGCUGUGGAUAGGGGUGAAAGGCCAAUCAAACACCGUGAUAGCUGGUUCUCCCCGAAAUGCAUUUAGGUGCAGCGUUGCGUGGUUCUUGUCGGAGGUAGAGCACUGGAUGGUCUAGGGGGCCUAUCAGCUUACCGAAAUCAGCCAAACUCCGAAUGCCGGCAAGUGGAGCGUGGCAGUGAGACGGCGGGGGAUAAGCUUCGUCGUCGAGAGGGAAACAGCCCAGAUCAUCAGCUAAGGCCCCUAAGUGGUAGCUCAGUGGAAAAGGAUGUGGAGUUGCGCAGACAGCCAGGAGGUUGGCUUGGAAGCAGCCAUCCUUGAAAGAGUGCGUAAUAGCUCACUGGUCAAGUGAUUCCGCGCCGACAAUGUAGCGGGGCUUAAGUUAUCCGCCGAAGCUGUGGCAAACCCGUUUUGCGGGUUUGGGUAGGGGAGCGUCCUGUACGAGGUGAAGCUGCCGGGUGACCGUGUGGUGGAUUGUGCGGGAGUGAGAAUGCAGGCAUGAGUAGCGAAUGACGGGUGAAAAACCCGUCCGCCGAUUAUCCAAGGGUUCCAGGGUCAAGUUAAUCUGCCCUGGGUGAGUCGGGACCUAAGGCGAGGCCGAAAGGCGUAGUCGAUGGAUAACCAGUUGAUAUUCUGGUACCGGCUUGUCACCGUCCGUGUCGAGGUGUGUGAUGCUAAGCGUGCGAGCCUGCCAUUGUGAUGUCUUUGAUGUUGUGGUGGUGUGGUGAGUGUGUGAACCGAUCAUGUAGUAGGCAAGCUGCGGAGGGACGCAGGGAGGUAGCUCAUCCCCGGCGAUGGUUGUCCGGGGCUAAAUGUGUGGACCGUCUGGUAGGUAAAUCCGCUGGGCAUAUGGUUGAGGCAUGAUGGCGAGCCCACGUGUGUGGGUGAGUGAGUGAUCCUGUACUGUCGAGAAAAGCUUCGUGAGCGAGGUGGCUGGUCCGCCCGUACCCUAAACCGACACUGGUGGAUAGGUAGAGUAUACCGAGGCGAUCGAGAUCAUCAUGGUGAAGGAACUCGGCAAAAUGCCCCCGUAACUUCGGGAUAAGGGGGACCUGAACUGUUAAGGCCUGUACGGCUGGUAGCAGUGAGGGGCGCAGAGACCAGGGGGAAACGACUGUUUACCAAAAACACAGGUCCGUGCGAAGUCGUAAGACGAUGUAUACGGACUGACUCCUGCCCGGUGCUGGAAGGUUAAGGGGAACUGUUAGCGUUGGCGAAGCGGUGAACUUAAGCCCCAGUAAACGGCGGUGGUAACUAUAACCAUCCUAAGGUAGCGAAAUUCCUUGUCGGGUAAGUUCCGACCUGCACGAAUGGAGUAACGAUUUCCCUACUGUCUCCACCAUGAACUCGGUGAAAUUGCAGUACGAGUAAAGAUGCUCGUUACGCGCAGCAGGACGGAAAGACCCCGGGACCUUUACUAUAGUUUGGUAUUGGUGAUUGGGACGACUUGUGUAGGAUAGGUGGGAGACUGUGAAGUGGCCACGCUAGUGGUUGUGGAGUCAUUGUUGAAAUACCACUCUGGUCGUUCUGGUUAUCUAACUUUGGGCCGUGAUCCGGUUCAGGGACAGUGCCUGAUGGGUAGUUUGACUGGGGCGGUCGCCUCCUAAAAGGUAACGGAGGCGCCCAAAGGUUCCC
This 2460-nucleotide ribosomal RNA is filed under the name human gut metagenome. RNAcentral's name for it is "bacterial LSU rRNA". It matches the Rfam family "Bacterial large subunit ribosomal RNA", at positions 14 to 2321 of the family's 2925-position model. The record is from RNAcentral.